CAGCCAGACUCCUACGGGAGGCAGCAGUGGGGAAUAUUGCACAAUGGGGGGAACCCUGAUGCAGCGACGCCGCGUGGGUGAAGGAGCACCUCGGUGCGUAAAGCCCUAUCGGCAGGGAAGAAACAGACGGUACCUGACUAAGAAGCCCCGGCUAACUACGUGCCAGCAGCCGCGGUAAUACGUAGGGGGCAAGCGUUAUCCGGAUUUACUGGGUGUAAAGGGGGCGCAGACGGCGAUGCAAGCCAGGAGUGAAAGCCCGGGGCCCAACCCCGGGACUGCUCUUGGAACUGCGUGGCUAGAGUGCAGGAGGGGCAGGCGGAAUUCCUGGUGUAGCGGUGAAAUGCGUAGAUAUCAGGAGGAACACCGGUGGCGAAGGCGGCCUGCUGGACGAUGACUGACGUUGAGGCUCGAAAGCGUGGGGAGCAAACAGGAUUAGAUACCCUCGUAC
This 448-nucleotide ribosomal RNA is filed under the name uncultured bacterium. RNAcentral describes it as "partial 16S ribosomal RNA". It matches the Rfam family "Bacterial small subunit ribosomal RNA", at positions 328 to 793 of the family's 1533-position model. The record is from RNAcentral.